GCGUGCGAUCAUACCAGCACUAAUACACCGAAUCCCAUCAGAACUCUAAUGUUAAGCGUGCUUGGGCGAGAGUAGUACUAGGAUAGGUGACCCCCCGGGAAUUUCUCGUGUUACACCUC
Molecule: ribosomal RNA, 119 nt
Organism: Diospyros lotus (date-plum)
Lineage: Eukaryota; Viridiplantae; Streptophyta; Magnoliopsida; Ericales; Ebenaceae
Source: RefSeq, a predicted model, not a curated record